UUUGACGUUAGCGACAGAAGAAGCACCGGCUAACUCCGUGCCAGCAGCCGCGGUAAUACGGAGGGUGCGAGCGUUAAUCGGAAUUACUGGGCGUAAAGCGCAUGCAGGUGGUUUGUUAAGUCAGAUGUGAAAGCCCGGGGCUCAACCUCGGAAUUGCAUUUGAAACUGGCAGACUAGAGUACUGUAGAGGGGGGUAGAAUUUCAGGUGUAGCGGUGAAAUGCGUAGAGAUCUGAAGGAAUACCGGUGGCGAAGGCGGCCCCCUGGACAGAUACUGACACUCAGAUGCGAAAGCGUGGGGAGCAAACAGGAUUAGAUACCCUGGUAGUCCACGCCGUAAACGAUGUCUACUUGGAGGUUGUGGCCUUGAGCCGUGGCUUUCGGAGCUAACGCGUUAAGUAGACCGCCUGGGGAGUACGGUCGCAAGAUUAAAACUCAAAUGAAUUGACGGGGGCCCGCACAAGCGGUGGAGCAUGUGGUUUAAUUCGAUGCAACGCGAAGAACCUUACCUACUCUUGACAUCCAGAGAACUUUCCAGAGAUGGAUUGGUGCCUUCGGGAACUCUGAGACAGGUGCUGCAUGGCUGUCGUCAGCUCGUGUUGUGAAAUGUUGGGUUAAGUCCCGCAACGAGCGCA
RNAcentral lists this ribosomal RNA (633 nucleotides) under Vibrio parahaemolyticus. RNAcentral describes it as "bacterial SSU rRNA". It matches the Rfam family "Bacterial small subunit ribosomal RNA", at positions 468 to 1100 of the family's 1533-position model. The record is from RNAcentral. Lineage: Bacteria; Pseudomonadati; Pseudomonadota; Gammaproteobacteria; Vibrionales; Vibrionaceae.